GGGUCGCGGUGCUGGCGGGGGGAUGCUCCCGAGGCGGUGCGGGGACCGAGCAGAGCCACCCGCCCCCCCGGAGCACCGCCCGGCCGCUCAACGCAGCCCCCCGGGCAGGUGGAGGGUGCCCUCGGCUCCUCCGGGGGCUUCGUCCCCUCUCCCGAAAGAGUGACAGAAAAAUCAUAAGCACAAACUGCAGCUGGUGCUUCUGUGGCCAGUGAGGAUCGGUGGGAGCAAAUGAGGUGCUCCCCACACUGCUUGGCUUUUGGGGGCACUGGUUGUGCCUGUCCUUCUCUGCCCUUUGGGGACAAAACUGGUGUAAUGAUUGCACUCGGAUUCCUUCAGGCUCUAAACCAGACAAGAGAUAGGAACCAGGAAUCCUUUUCAAAGUCGUGUUUUAACAAAGGAUAUUCCUCUUGUUUUUCCAGACACGCAACUUACAAUAUUUUGGAGUUGUGCCCUCUGCAAAUUGAAUCCACAGUCCUGAAAACCCAGAGCUGAUGCCAAGCAUUUUAAUCCUACCAGAAGUAAACAGUGAGCACCAAUUUACAUAAGAAUCGACUUGUAAAAUUAUUUCAGUGUUAACAUUGUGACACUCUAAGUAUAGUGGGUGACUUUGGGGCCGCUCAAAGCUUUUUAAAUGGAUGCUGCUGCUACAACAGAUUCCGGUCGUGUUUGUUUUUCAGAUGCUUGUAGGAAAUUAUGUGGAUUAAAAAGCUCUGCUUUAGGAAAAGCCCAAAGGAAAAUGAAAUGAAAAGAAGGAGCAUAUUCUUCAAGGACCACUGAGUCUGGAGGUCUUUUGGAAGUCUUCCUGGCAGGAGGAUUUCAGCGGGGUGGGAGGUUUGGGAGCCUGGAGGAUGCUCCAUAGGUUCAAGAGGUCUCCUGCUCCCUCUGAGGGUGGUGGCAGAUACCAGUGAGCACAGCUGCUUGGGCACUGCCUGCAGGUCUGUGGGGGCAGAAGGGUCUCAGCAGGUGGGUUUUCCUGCUCAGCUCAGAGUGAAGAAAAAGAAUAAAUCUACCUAAAAGCAGAUAUUUCGAGAAUUGCUCCAAAGCUGCUGUUUUCA
This is a long non-coding RNA of Chiroxiphia lanceolata (lance-tailed manakin), 1055 nucleotides long. RefSeq lists it as uncharacterized. The record is from RefSeq and is a predicted model, not a curated record. The transcript has 5 exons. Lineage: Eukaryota; Metazoa; Chordata; Aves; Passeriformes; Pipridae.